UACCUCUCGCUACUCCACGCCAAAUCGCCGAACUUGUCUGGCUCAUCUCGGCCACUUCGACGAAGCCUUCCACCGUGCUCUGGGCUCCUAUCGGUGGCUCACCACGUAAUCGGUUCCGCGGAGGACCUCCUGACCGGCCACAGAUCCUCGUUGGCGUGGUAGCAUCGAGCGAAGGUUUCCGAUGGCGGCAGGAGACGGAGCAAGGCAAGCUCAUACCCUUUAUGAUUGAGCGAGAUCUGUGAGUGAGGAUGACUUCCAGGAUACGCCGGAAGGUCCUCGGACGGAGUAGACGAGGAGGCGGGAUGGACGCAUGGUGUUGUCCGAAUGUCUAGGAGUGCAGAGCAUACUGGUUUCAUUGUGAGAGAUUUUUUUUCCUUAUUAUAUGUAAAGAGGGAUGUUUGGGGAUUAUUGUCCUUAUUCAUUAAAUUCCUGAUCGAUGCAAUCAUUUCCCUUGGUUAAGAUA
Molecule: long non-coding RNA, 463 nt
Organism: Zingiber officinale
Lineage: Eukaryota; Viridiplantae; Streptophyta; Magnoliopsida; Zingiberales; Zingiberaceae
Exons: 2
Source: RefSeq, a predicted model, not a curated record